UGGGGAAUAUUGGACAAUGGGCGCAAGCCUGAUCCAGCCAUACCGCGUGGGUGAAGAAGGCCUUCGGGUUGUAAAGCCCUUUUGUUGGGAAAGAAAAGCAAUCGGCUAAUACCCGGUUGUUCUGACGGUACCCAAAGAAUAAGCACCGGCUAACUUCGUGCCAGCAGCCGCGGUAAUACGAAGGGUGCAAGCGUUACUCGGAAUUACUGGGCGUAAAGCGUGCGUAGGUGGUUGUUUAAGUCUGUUGUGAAAGCCCUGGGCUCAACCUGGGAAUUGCAGUGGAUACUGGGCGACUAGAGUGUGGUAGAGGGUAGUGGAAUUCCCGGUGUAGCAGUGAAAUGCGUAGAGAUCGGGAGGAACAUCCAUGGCGAAGGCAGCUACCUGGACCAACACUGACACUGAGGCACGAAAGCGUGGGGAGCAAACA
RNAcentral lists this ribosomal RNA (427 nucleotides) under uncultured prokaryote. Its description in RNAcentral is "bacterial SSU rRNA". It matches the Rfam family "Bacterial small subunit ribosomal RNA", at positions 355 to 774 of the family's 1533-position model. The record is from RNAcentral.